UGGGUCGCUUUUUUUGUACUGUGAAGUCCUGAUUUUCAUUCAGCAAUGCAAAUAAUUCUGGUUUUAGCUUGACCGUGUGAUGUCCAAUCACAGUAUAUAUAUUAGCUUUAAAUCCAUUAAUUUUAGAUAUACGUGUAUGACACAGUGUGGAACUGCACCCGUCACCAGAUAGUAAAGAGAACACUUCUAGGGUCUGUACCACCCAGACUGAUCGUUUUGCACUUCACAUUUCACAGUCAUGGGCCUUUGAAGCCCAUCACUCCAAGCCUUCUGCUUUAUGAACCAAAUUUUGCUGCAUUCAGAAACCCUGAGAGAGCAGGGGAGAGGACAAGUCUUACUGACAGAAGCAGACAGAGCCUCAGUAAAUACAACUCUUCCUAUCAAACCUACAGGAACAGUUCGGCUUUACAGCAGUCACAUUAACAAAGGAAGAGGGAGGCAGAGGAGGGUAUCUUUUCCCAGUCAGUAUCCAAAUUCCCAGAAGGACCAAUGUACAUAAGAGAAAACCAUCAGUCUGUUCACCAAGAUGCAUUACAGUGUUCCAUUUUCCGCUCGUUUUAGGUCAAGUGGAAGCUUCUUUUUUCAGUUUUUCUAAUACUUCAUCUGGUGUCACCGAUACCAAAAUCUUCACCACUUUAUCACGUGAUUUCCCACCCUUCUCUAAAAUAACAUCACUCUUCUUCACUCCUAGCACCUUAGAGAGGUAGCGGCACAGCUCUGCGUUCGCCUCCCCUUCUGAUGGCGGUGCAGCAAUAGCCACACCUACUGCCUCGGCUGUCACAUCUGUCACGGCGCUGCAGCGGGAGCCGGGCUUGGCGCGCACCGACACCCUCACGCCGCCGUCGCCCGCUGCCACCACCGGCCCCGCGGCGGCGCCGGGCUCGGCGGACUCCUUCCCGGCCGCUUUGCCCUUCCGGGGCAUGUCCCCGCCGCGGCCCCGUAGCGGCGCCAACAGCCGCUGACGGCAUCCGGCGAGGGUCAGCAUGGCCCGGCGCCGCCCUUCCGGGAGCAGCGCUAACCCCGCCCCUCGGCUGCGCAUGCGCGUCACGGUGCUCGGCGCUGCGGAGCCGGAACGGAAUGGCUGCGUUGGAGGCGUGCUUUGGGACUUCAACCCGGUAUGUACCACAUACAUCCGUGGCCUGCAGCAAAUGACUGUAGAGCAAGUUGCACGCAAAUAGGCCAGAGUUGAUAAUAAUUCUUUAGUAUUAGAUUACCCAGUCAAAAUAAGAUCAUUACAAGGCUUGUAUUCCCAUUUUCACAUUGUACAUUUUCUUAUAGGCACAUACGUAUAUACAAUGGCUAUUUCCAUAACCAGCUCUAUAUUCCAAAACAGCCCUUCUUAAUUAAAAGAGAUUCUGCAAAGAUCCAUUCAUUGGAGGAUUUGCUAUAGCAUUUCUUCACUGCAGCUGCAGAUACUGCGUGGAGUGCUAAGUCCGACAACUCACCAUUGACAGCAAUAUGAAUCCAGCUUUGCUCAUGUACUUGGAAAAAAAAAUAAGUAGUAAUUCAUGUCCACAGGGUCAUUCCAAGGUUGUUGUACAGAGAAGUGCAAGCUGGGAGUGCAGCAGCAGAGGUACUGUCUUUGUAAGACAAGUUGAGGAACAUGUGCAGAUGAAAUUCAUAACCAGUAUGUAUUUUCCAGUUCAAGAAAUGAAUUCAACUAUAUGAGAAACGAAGGGUUCAAAAUACAAAGCCAUUAAAUCACAACAUACCACUCAAAACAACCUUCAGUAUACAGAGUACUUACUCCACACUUUGUUAAAAGGAAAAGUUAAAUUAGGUUCCACCAACCACGACGCAGAUAAAAUUGCUUUCCUGGCACCUCUCAAACAAGUCAGUUCUGUUUUUACACAUUCGGGUCAUUUCAUAGCAUUGCCAACUCACUAUGGGUGACAGUGAAAGUCCACUGAUAGGCUGACACGGAGGUGAUCAUGUGAAAUUAUGUAUAAAAUAUUAUUUCUGGUAUCUGUCCAUCUUCUAUCGAUGUACCAUUAUUGUUACCCGGCGAACUAUAAAAGACAAAGCAUGUUUUGCUAGCAGUAGGAGAUUCGUGGAUUACUUUCUUCAAUCCUUUUGUUCCAUAGUGGGAAUCAGGACCCUGAAAAACAGCAGAGGAGAUGAGCAGCAGGAUGGAAACGCGAGCACGACCCAUACAAUGUUGAAGUUCAAACACUACUGAUUUACAUCAUUUUAACAAUAAAAAAAUGUCUGUAUCCACAUGACAGAAGUUUCAUUCUAAAUUACAAAUAACAGAAGCAGAUCCUGUAAGUCUAACCAAAAAAGGUUCCUCUGACAGUAGGCCUAAACCACUUGGUUUUACCCCACUAAUAAUGAAUAAAUGUUUUCUGAUACUUCUUGUCACACAAGUUGUCUGUAUUUUCACUUCAUCUCCCACCUCAGAUGCUUUAAUGGGCAGCAUUUUUUCCAAUCCAUUCGACUUUGAAUUCCGUACAGGGAAUUAUCUUUAAAACAAUAUUAUUUUUAAAAGAUUUUACAGAAAAUGUUGAAUGAGUCAAUUUUCCUAGAACAAACCAUUCUUUUCCUUUAUCUUAGCACUAGCAUAUAAAAGCGAGAAAAGAAAGCUGUCAGUGUUCUUGACUAUAGCUGGUCCUUAACAAAAGAAAUCAAACAAGUUUUGACAAAGACAGCUGUCAGAUUAAAUAUUCCAAAUAGUGCUUCUGCCCACACAGAACCACAGUGACUUCCAUUAGGACUUGUUUUAACUCCUGUCAGUGGGAAAUCACAAAGGAUCCAGUUAUAAAUUCUGUGCUGCGGCACAGAACAGAGAGAAAGCAGCUUUAAAAGUUACCAUACAGUUUAGCUACUGCCUCCUUUCACACAAAGCAUAGCAUGAGACCAAGAUGACACGUUCCCUCACAAAACAGAUAAGAGGUAAACCUUUGCAUCACAAUAAAAUAUUAUUUUACACUGUUAAGCAUUCUUACUUUUAAUGUUGCACAGGCUGUGUAGCAAACUGUGGGCAAAAUCUCUAUAGGCUCUUUGAACAUAACUCUGAACGUACUGGCAGUUCCAUCACAGCUAAAUCCAGUGUCGUUUUGUCCCAGAGUUUGAUUCUUCUCAUAAUCAAUUAUCUGUAUAUUAACUUGAUAGUCUGUGGGUCCAUGAAUAGAUCCAUAUAAUCCAAAUCCCACUAUGGAAAUUCUUCUAUUAACUGUGAACCUAAUGCGAUCACUUGUUCCACUGUAGCCCCAGCGACUCUCCACUUGUUGGAACCUGUUAAUGCUGCAUUCUUUUCCUCUGAGGCAACAUCUUGGUCGGUCUAUAUAAUCUACUUUUGGCUUAGGAUUGACAGUAAAAUGUAGAAAAAGAUUU
This 3333-nucleotide long non-coding RNA is filed under the name Gallus gallus (chicken). The record is from RNAcentral. Lineage: Eukaryota; Metazoa; Chordata; Aves; Galliformes; Phasianidae.